AUGAUCUGUGCAAGGACAUAUCCCAGCGACUGGGGACCCAAACCUGGACAGGACACCUGGCUCUUCCAAUUCCAUCAUGACACUUUUCCAAAUGAUUCCUGGGAGCCCCCUGAUGCAAACGUCUAUAGCUGCAACUCUGUCUCCACCACAGACAGAAAGAGAAAGGACAGAAAAGUUUAUGCAUCAUGAGCCAAGGGUUUACCUGCUGACUUGGACGCAUAGGGGAAAUUACACUCAUUAGGAAGAACAGUGGGGGCAUGAGAAAGAGACGACAAAGAUCUUCGGAAACCAGCUCCCCGCCAUCCCCUUUGCUCUGACUCAAGAGUCUUGCCAGAGGCAGGGGACAAUACAUUCACCACUCAGCCUACGUAUUAGUGAAAGACAUUUUAUGUAGCUUGAUGAAAAGAUGCCUGAAAGACAAAGUGACAAGCCUUCAAAUCCCAAAAAGUUUCAAAACGUCAACAGAGUUCUAUGAACAAGUGGUGUUCUGAGAUCAGAUGCCACCGUGUCUUUGACAUCUCUUAUUAAGAGAAAGAGGACCUAACUGAGGAAUCACUGUGUUAAGUCUAUUCUCCAGUCACAAAGGAUGUGAAUCAUCAAGGCACAAAGCACUAGAGUUCCUUGUCUUGCAGCUGCCAACCUGGCGUGAACUGAGAGACAUCUUCUUUGAAGUUAUCACCUCAUCAGUAUUCAGUUGAGCUGACGUUUUCCUGGCAUGCCCUAUGCUCCUGCUUAAGCUCACACUGGGAGGGGAGGCACCUGAUUAUAAAUGAGAGGGCUGAAGGAUCUUCUUUAGAUGUGACAGUUUGAAAAGAAUGUUUGUGGAAGUGGUUACUUGAGAGUAGCCUCAAGGGCAAAUUCCAACAAAAUCAACUCUAACACUUAAAAUUAGAGGCAAAGAUUAUUUAAACAGAGUGAAGUGACCAUGGAUUUGAAUGUCUUGAAAGAAUUUAAGGCAUUUCCCAGUAAGUUUAAAGAAGUUUGAUUAUUUUUCUAUAAUUAGAAGGAAACAUGGUAGGAAAGAUCACCUAUUCCAUCCUCAAUUUCCUCUUUUGUGGAGCAGUAAAAUCUCUAAGCAGAUGACAAAUUUUUCAAAUCUCAUUGCUGAAAGCUGUUACCUAGCAACUAGUGACUUAAAUUAUCAAGGGGAAAAAACCCUACAUUCUAAGACAAUUUGAUACUCUAAGGACAAUCAGAUUAAGAAAAAACAAAAUAUUCCUGUAUUUCUCCAGUAUAGUUUCUCAGCGAUAUUAGGCGAAAAUACCUUUGAGCAAAAAUAUAGAAGAUAUUCCUCAAGGAGUGCCUGGCUAAGCAUCGGACUCUUGAUUUCAGCUUGUGAGUUCUUUCCCUUACACACGUGUGUGUGUGUGUGUGUGUGUGUGUCUGUGCACGCAUCCUGUCCUCUAUCUCUUGCAAAUAAAUAAAUCUUUAAGCACACGAAAAGAAGAUCUAACUCAAGCCAUACCUAGAGCAGACCCACUAAUCCACUCUGUAAAGAUAGGUGAUAAUCAAGAAAAAGCUACACCACAGAAUUUAUGAUUCUCUCUGGUAUCAUUUUAGGUACAGAGGGUGAUUUGCAUUUACUUACCUAAUAAGAGCUUGUUGUAAGAAUCAAAUGGUGUUUAACUAGCAAUCCACAUUUUACUGUUAAUUGUCACGUAGUCUCAGCAUCAGAUUUAAUGAUCAUUUCACAUUUAAAUCAUAGAGUAAUCUCCACUCACACCGUCUUCAUUUGGAAUGUUCUAGGAUGACUUAAGAAGCUACCCCUUUCUUUCCUAUCUGCUUCUCCUGCCCGUCUUUUUUUUUUUUUUUUUUUGACUGACUGACUGACUGACUGACUUAAUUAAUUUAUUUUAGAGAGAGCGAGCAAGUGAGCAAGCUAGCCAGAGGAACAGAGGGAAAGAAUCUCAAACAGCCUCUCCGCUGAAUGUGGGGCCCAAGGUGGGGCUCCAUCCCAUGACCCUGAGAUCACAACCAUGAGCUUAUGACCUGAGCUGAAA
RNAcentral lists this long non-coding RNA (2000 nucleotides) under Canis lupus familiaris (dog). RNAcentral describes it as "lncRNA (ENSCAFG00040009564.1)". The record is from RNAcentral. Lineage: Eukaryota; Metazoa; Chordata; Mammalia; Carnivora; Canidae.